AAGCGGGCCACCAUGUUGUGUUUCGAAGCGUUUGUUUAUCUACACGUUUGUUGGAUCGAGUGCUAUGUUCGUGCUUUAAACUAGCGAUUACAGAGUUUACGUGUAGUGAAGCUACUGUGAACAUGGUUUAUAAAUGUUGUGUGCCAAGGUGUCGUGGGAAUUACGGAACUGGACCGAAAGUAAUGUUGUUUUCCUUUCCGAAAGAUGCGAAUCUGCGUUGGAAAUGGCUUUCAGCAAUUCAUCGGGACAAUUUCCAACCUACUGAGCACACGAAGGUUUGUGAACUUCAUUUCACCGAAUCUGACAUCUGCCGGCAUACAGAAUGUUAUGAUGAAGUGAAAGGCACAAAGCUUUCUGUCAAGCUUUCAAGACCGAGGCUUAGAGAGGGUGCUGUCCCAUCAGUGUUACCAGGCUGCCCAAGCUAUUUGUCUACUCCAUCCACCAGCUCUCGAGAAAGUGCAGAGGAAAGGAGAGCUAGAUUGGACAAUGAACAUCUUCUACAAGCAAUUAAAGACAGUAUAGUAACCAAAACAGAGUAUGAUUUUCUACAUUUGAAGCAUUUCUGCAGUGCCUAGAAAGAGAAACCAUUCCCAGUGAAUGGACCAUUGUUAGGAGAAGUGACUGUGUCCUAUUUCUAUUGCUUACUGUAUUGCCUGCUCCAUCUGUGUCUGUAUCUGUAGUAGUGACAAAUGAUUUGCAGUUGUCUGCAUAUCGAAGUAACACUGAGAUAAGAAAGAUAGGCAGUAGAAAAAUAUCACACAAACUUUCAAAUAUGAAUGAUUUGUUUACAGUAUUAGACAAAGUGAAAGAAUUAGUCAGUGCAAAAGAAAAUUCAUUAAAAAUCCAGUGCCUUCUUAUACAGGACAUUUUAAAUGACAUGUGCAGUUCUGUAGAUGAAGAAAAACAGAAACAAAUUCAAUUCUUAAGUGAGCAAGUUAAGUUGCUAUGUAGCUGUGAGGAAAACUAUAGGUUUAAUCCUCACUUUUCUAUAUUUUGUUGUAUCCUGCAUUCUAUCUCCCCUCAUGCCUAUAAAUUUUUGAGGUCAUCUGGCAAUCUUAUUCUUCCUCAUCCAAGAACUUUACAGAAAAUAUGUUCCUCAUAUACUAAUGAUCCUCAUAAUGAACAAAAUGAAGGUGCUAUGCUCCUGUAUAUUAAGAAAGAUUUAAAUCUUUGCAGGAAAGUGAUUGUACCAUUUCAUUAAUGAUGGAUGAAAUUCCUAUUAAACCUUAUUUUGAUUACAAGGGAGGAAACAUUGUGGGGGCAGCAUUUGAUAGUGACAAGGCUGCUACUACAGCAUAUGUCUUUAUGGUACAAUCAUUGCUGUCUUCUUUUAAAGAAGUAGUGCAUGUCCUUCCAGUGAGAAACCUUGCAGCUGAACAGCUAUUUUUGUAUGUGAAGAAAAUAUUAUGUGGCCUUUAUGACAUUGGUUUCAAAGUUAUUUGUGUAGUUAGUGACAACAAUGCUUUAAAUAGGAAAUCUAUGGCACUUUUUAGCUCACCUCCAAAACUCAGUAUAGUUUACCCACAUCCAGCUAAUCCAACUCAGCCACUAUUUUUUAUAAUUGAUUCUGUCCACAUCCUUAAGUGUAUACGUAAUAAUUGGGUUAAUCAAAAGGACUCUCAAGUUUUGCUCAAAUAUCCACAAUUUGAUGGCAGCAGUGAUGAUUGUCAGGUGUUAAUGGCAUCUUUUGAAGCAUUGAGGCAGCUUCAUAAGAUUGAAUGUAAUUGUCUACUUAAGCACUCUUAUGGUCUUUCUUUGAAGUCUCUUUAUCCAUCUUCACUUGAGAAACAGAAUGUGAGCCUUGUUUUGCAGGUAUUCAGUGAAUAUACAGCUGAAGCCGUUUCAACUGUAGGAGAACAGAAAAACUUGUUACAUUACCAGACCACUGCAGAAUUUAUUAAAAUUAUUCUUACAUGGUGGAAAAUUGUAAAUGUUAAGACAGUUCACAAAGGUGUUCGACUAAAUGAUCUCUUCCAGUGCCCUCUGUCUUUAAGUAAUAAUGAUGAAAAAUUAGUUUUUUUUGGAAAAGUUUCUUGUGUGGCUUGAUAAGUGGAAGGACUUAGGCCUGAAAAAUAAUACCCUUUCAAAAGAUACACAUAUAGCUCUGACACACACAACCUAUGGUUUGAUUGAGAUGGCAAGGUACUGGACUAAAGAGCUUGGUUUCACUUAUUUUUUGCCUGGAAAAAUUCAGACUGAUUCUCUGGAAGCAAGGUUUAGCAGUUACCGAUCAAUGGCUGGCUCUCAGUAUCUUAUAUCUGUGAGACAGAUUUUUGAAGUGGAAGCGAAGAUGAGGAUGCAGAACAUGUUACCACUCAUGUUGAAUUCAAGUACUUUUGGUAAACUGCCUGUUGCAGAAGGGUUCAUCUUCAAUUGUAAUGAUGACACAAAAGAGACUAUACAAACAGACUCUGAGUUUAUGGUUGACAUUAUGUAUUUGGAAGAAGAUUUCAGGCUGGCAGAAACAUACCUUCCAAUAUUAACAUAUUUAGCAGGGUAUUGUGUUCGCAGUGUACUGAAGAAACGGCAGUGUGAGGUGUGCAGCAAAUACCUUCUCUUAGACAAAGAAAUGUGUCUGCAUGGUGAACAACAUCUUAGUUUAAUCAAAAAUUUGGACAGGGGUGGUCUGUUAUUCCCUGAGCCUGAUGUUGUGAAUGUUGUUAUUUACAAUUACAUUACUGUACAGAAAUUAAUAUCUGCCCCUAAUGAAAAAAAUUUUUGUCAUCCAACAGUCAAAGGGUGCUUGUUCAAAAUGUAACCAUAAAUGCUGUUCAGAAGAAAAGUUUCUUCUUAACAGACUUUAUUUGCAGUAAUGGUCAUUCGGCAGAUGAAAUACUGAAGUUGUUAGUCAAAGCAUCCACCAACGCAUUAUUAAAUAAUUACAUUAAGAAAAAGAAUGACACCUUUACUGCUUCUUUUAAGAAACGGAAGCUUAGCACAUUUUAAUUUGCGUACAUUUUACAUGCUAGCACAUUUAUCAGGUGUCACAGGAAAUUUCUAUUAUGUCUCACACAUUCAGUUACACUGUAUUUGGUCCACUGAAAGCAGAGGCAGGUUCCAUAAUCCAUAUUGGUGUAGUACCUUCAACUGAAUGCACACUAAUAGUCAUUUGGUCCAUAAAGCCUGUAAGUUGUGGAUAAUUUGCUUCCAACAGUUUCACAUGUCAGAAGGUCACAACUGUUUCCAUGCAGACUAUUCAGCUGAAGUAAAUACUUUGUCCAGCACUAAUGGCUAGUUUCAAUCUCAUCAUUGUAAAAUUUUAUCAGUUUGUGUACACAUCCAUCUGUGCACCAGAUGCUGGCCUAAGGUUGAAACUGGGCCAGUUUUUCCUAGUAAAGUUUUUAUGUCUUUCAGCUAUUCUGUGCACAAAUAUUUACAUCUUCCUUUCAAUUUGUUGAGCAUGUGCUGCCCAACAAGAAGAAAUCUGUUAAUGUAAUUCUGUAUUAAACCUCAUGUAAUUCAUUAUAACUAUGUAUGUAAUUAGAGGCUAUUAUUUUGGCAUGCAGACGUAUAAAACUUGCGGUAGAAUAUUACAAUACUACAAAAGGGAAAGCCAAAAAUGGAUUUCUCCCAUUGUCCUGAAUCAGAAUGACACCAGGGUGUUUCCUAAUGUAGUUACUUCUCAUAAUAGCUGUUCAUCUAAAUUUUGAUACAAGCUGUCAGUAUUGUUGCAUAUGGGUAACAAUUAGUUAUCACUUUGCAUAUAUUAUUUUACUGAGACAUAGUUACAUUCUAGUAGUUGCUUAUUCCACUCACAGUUUGGAACAGUUUAAUAUCAGACACAGUAGUUGGUCUCCAUUCCCAAAUUUGCAUCUCAUCCAGACUGUGACCCUUAGUUUGUUACUAAUCUUAUUGUGUUUUUUUUUUAACUUAUGAAACCCCUUGGUAGUGUGACGCUGUGUGUCAGACUUGGACCGCACAUGAGUGUCAUGUUGCUGCAUUUUAUUUGAAUGUGUAGGACAUUAUAUCCUACACCAUUAAGUUUAAUUUGGAAUCAGUGUAAAAUUGUUACAGUUUUGAUUUAUGUUGUACAUCUUUAGUUAAUCCCAGAGUUAGUUCCUCUGAUUUAUUUUGUUCACACUUCAGUUCAUUACAAGGAAAUUGGCCUACUUCUAGCUUAUGGCAGGGUUUUCAACAAAUGUUGCAUAGCUGUGCAGUAACAAUAUAAAAGAGUUCUUUCAGUUGUGGAUCAGGUAUUCAACUGUAAUGUGAGGUUGGUCUGAUAUGUCAUACUCAGUAUUACCAUUACUUAUUAGUUUCCAACGACUAGCUACAUUUUCACGUCGUUGAAUGUCCUUCAGUAGUGCCUCAUCCCAGUACACCUUUAUAUCAUGGUGCAUACAUUCCAACAAAUGUUUGUUGCUCUAGUACUCUGUCUGAGUUAAUACUUUUGUCAGCAACAUAAGUCAUUGUUAGUCACAAUUAUUAAAUUUUAUAGACAAUAAGACUGGUAAUGUAACUUGUUAUACGCAUCUGACAUGUUUUGCAACUGUAAUUUUUCACAAAAUACAAUAUAUCAAAUGUGUACAACUAAUCAAUCAUUCUGAAAGUAGAAAAGGCUUGCUGCCUUUUAAGAUGGAAAUCGUGAUCUAUUUCUGUAAUGGAACCAUGUUGUGCCCUGGAUUUUGUAACAGCAUUUUCAGGAAGUAGAUGUACAUAUGACUGACUUAAAUAAAUUAUAGUUCAUUA
Schistocerca nitens (vagrant locust) is the source of this 4689-nucleotide long non-coding RNA. RefSeq lists it as uncharacterized. The record is from RefSeq and is a predicted model, not a curated record. NCBI's taxonomy places the organism in Eukaryota, Metazoa, Arthropoda, Insecta, Orthoptera, Acrididae. The transcript is spliced from 3 exons.